This 117-nucleotide ribosomal RNA is filed under the name Sinocyclocheilus anshuiensis. Lineage: Eukaryota; Metazoa; Chordata; Actinopteri; Cypriniformes; Cyprinidae. The record is from RNAcentral.
GCCAGCAGCCAUAUCACCCUGUAGCCCAAGACUGGUUGCCCACUGAAGCUAAGCAGGGCUGAGCCUGGUCAGUACCGGGAUGGGAGACCUCCUGGGAAAACUAGGUUGCUGCUGGAA